RNAcentral lists this ribosomal RNA (254 nucleotides) under uncultured bacterium. RNAcentral's name for it is "partial 16S ribosomal RNA". It matches the Rfam family "Bacterial small subunit ribosomal RNA", at positions 524 to 777 of the family's 1533-position model. The record is from RNAcentral.
UACGUAGGGGGCAAGCGUUGUCCGGAAUCAUUGGGCGUAAAGCGCGUGUAGGCGGUCCGAUAAGUCGGUUGUGAAAGUCAAGGGCUCAACCCUUGAAUGCCGACCGAUACUGUCGGGCUAGAGUCCGGAAGAGGUGAGUGGAAUUCCUGGUGUAGCGGUGAAAUGCGUAGAUAUCUGGAGGAAUACCGGUGGCGAAGGCGGCAUCCUGGACCGGCAUUGACGCUGAGGAGCGAAAGCUAGGGGAGCAAACGGGG